UGGGGAAUAUUGGACAAUGGGGGCAACCCUGAUCCAGCAAUGCCGCGUGAGUGAUGAAGGCCUUAGGGUUGUAAAGCUCUUUUACCCGGGAUGAUAAUGACAGUACCGGGAGAAUAAGCCCCGGCUAACUCCGUGCCAGCAGCCGCGGUAAUACGGAGGGGGCUAGCGUUGUUCGGAAUUACUGGGCGUAAAGCGCGCGUAGGCGGUUUUUCAAGUCAGGGGUGAAAGCCCGGAGCUCAACUCCGGAAUUGCCUCUGAAACUGGAUGACUUGAGUCUUGGAGAGGCGAGUGGAAUUCCGAGUGUAGAGGUGAAAUUCGUAGAUAUUCGGAAGAACACCAGUGGCGAAGGCGACUCGCUGGACAAGUACUGACGCUGAGGUGCGAAAGCGUGGGGAGCAAACA
Molecule: ribosomal RNA, 402 nt
Filed under: uncultured prokaryote
Description: bacterial SSU rRNA
Rfam family: Bacterial small subunit ribosomal RNA
Source: RNAcentral